ACUGCAGUCGAGCGAACAGACGAGGAGCUUGCUCCUCUGACGUUAGCGGCGGACGGGUGAGUAACACGUGGAUAACCUACCUAUAAGACUGGGAUAACUUCGGGAAACCGGAGCUAAUACCGGAUAAUAUAUUGAACCGCAUGGUUCAAUAGUGAAAGACGGUUUUGCUGUCACUUAUAGAUGGAUCCGCGCCGCAUUAGCUAGUUGGUAAGGUAACGGCUUACCAAGGCAACGAUGCGUAGCCGACCUGAGAGGGUGAUCGGCCACACUGGAACUGAGACACGGUCCAGACUCCUACGGGAGGCAGCAGUAGGGAAUCUUCCGCAAUGGGCGAAAGCCUGACGGAGCAACGCCGCGUGAGUGAUGAAGGUCUUCGGAUCGUAAAACUCUGUUAUUAGGGAAGAACAAAUGUGUAAGUAACUAUGCACGUCUUGACGGUACCUAAUCAGAAAGCCACGGCUAACUACGUGCCAGCAGCCGCGGUAAUACGUAGGUGGCAAGCGUUAUCCGGAAUUAUUGGGCGUAAAGCGCGCGUAGGCGGUUUUUUAAGUCUGAUGUGAAAGCCCACGGCUCAACCGUGGAGGGUCAUUGGAAACUGGAAAACUUGAGUGCAGAAGAGGAAAGUGGAAUUCCAUGUGUAGCGGUGAAAUGCGCAGAGAUAUGGAGGAACACCAGUGGCGAAGGCGACUUUCUGGUCUGUAACUGACGCUGAUGUGCGAAAGCGUGGGGAUCAAACAGGAUUAGAUACCCUGGUAGUCCACGCCGUAAACGAUGAGUGCUAAGUGUUAGGGGGUUUCCGCCCCUUAGUGCUGCAGCUAACGCAUUAAGCACUCCGCCUGGGGAGUACGACCGCAAGGUUGAAACUCAAAGGAAUUGACGGGGGACCCGCACAAGCGGUGGAGCAUGUGGUUUAAUUCGAAGCAACGCGAAGAACCUUACCAAAUCUUGACAUCCUCUGACCCCUCUAGAGAAAGAGUUUUCCCCUUCCGGGGGACAGAGUGACAGGUGGUGCAUGGUUGUCGUCAGCUCGUGUCUUGAAA
RNAcentral lists this ribosomal RNA (1040 nucleotides) under Staphylococcus epidermidis. RNAcentral describes it as "bacterial SSU rRNA". It matches the Rfam family "Bacterial small subunit ribosomal RNA", at positions 53 to 1072 of the family's 1533-position model. The record is from RNAcentral. Lineage: Bacteria; Bacillati; Bacillota; Bacilli; Caryophanales; Staphylococcaceae.